Monodelphis domestica (gray short-tailed opossum) is the source of this 743-nucleotide long non-coding RNA. RefSeq lists it as uncharacterized. The record is from RefSeq and is a predicted model, not a curated record. NCBI's taxonomy places the organism in Eukaryota, Metazoa, Chordata, Mammalia, Didelphimorphia, Didelphidae.
GAGACAUUCUCAGAAUGGCAUCCUGGUAAUCUACACAGAGGAUGCUUGGAUGGAGACUCUUGGCCAUUGCUGGGAUGCUUCUUGAGGGAGAGGUUCCCCAAUGUGCCUCUUCUGAGCCCCAACUUCUCCCCAAGAUCAGUUACGAUCUUCUCAUUCUGGAAGCAUUUCCUGAUUCCUUCAUUUGUCAGCCUCGUGUCUUCUUCCAUCUCCCUCAGAAGAACUUGUGCCUCAAAGAAUCUCUUCCCGUGUUACUUUGCCCCAGUAGCACGAGCUUCAUCCAUGCAUUCUGGAUGCCCAUUUCACGUCUACAUGGACGCGUGUGAAAGCAUUUUGGAAGUGAUGUCUAUGGAAGUGACUCCCACAUUUCAUAACGGCAAAGCUUGCUUGUCCUCACCAAGUGAGAAACGGGUAAAUCGAAAGGAAACAUGUUGGGGAGCCACUUCCUGGAAAGAAGAAGGGAAGACUUCUUGGACGUCGUUCCGAACAUCAGCCCUUCACUUUGGGUGACGACCAAUAUAGAGAUCUGGGGAACCUCCUUCUGGAGCUGCAUGAGGGACUUUGCUUCUGAGUUCAGAGCAUAUGGAGAUAUUCUGUGACUGCUUCCUGCCUACGUCCUGAGUGGUAAAGAAAAGCCAUUUGAUUAGCAGCCUUACUACAAAACUGAAGAAAUACACUAAAGACACUAAAAAGUGAAAUAUCUAUUUUCCCUUUGGGGAAGCAAAGUAAAAUCAUAUAAACGACAA